GAAUCCUGGCUCAGGAUGAACGCUAGCUACAGGCUUAACACAUGCAAGUCGAGGGGCAGCGGGAUUGAAGCUUGCUUCAAUUGCCGGCGACCGGCGCACGAGUGAGUAACGCGUAUCCAACCUUCCGCUUACUCGGGGAUAGCCUUUCGAAAGAAAGAUUAAUACCCGAUGGUAUCUUAAGCACGCAUGAGAUUAAGAUUAAAGAUUUAUCGGUAAGCGAUGGGGAUGCGUUCCAUUAGG
RNAcentral lists this ribosomal RNA (240 nucleotides) under uncultured bacterium. RNAcentral's name for it is "partial 16S ribosomal RNA". It matches the Rfam family "Bacterial small subunit ribosomal RNA", at positions 14 to 245 of the family's 1533-position model. The record is from RNAcentral.